This 774-nucleotide ribosomal RNA is filed under the name Triticum aestivum (bread wheat). RNAcentral describes it as "partial small subunit ribosomal RNA". Lineage: Eukaryota; Viridiplantae; Streptophyta; Magnoliopsida; Poales; Poaceae. The record is from RNAcentral.
AUGUUUGCUGCGGUCUCCCUCUCUCGCGUCAACAAUCUUCGUGCUGCCCUCACCAAUGCCCAAAAGGGCACACAAUCUGCCUCAACAUACUUCGGCUAUAUGCGUUCCCUCUCUGACGAGCUCGCGACGGCGGGCAGACCUCUUGGAGAGCCGGAACUCAUCUCGUUCAUCGUCGCCGGCCUUGAUAUGGAUUACCAGCCACUUAUCUCCGCGCUUGAUGUCAGCACCGAGCCCAUCACGGUCGAUCUCCUUUUCUCUCUGGUGGCCAAUUUUGAUCAGCGGGUCGAACUAUACCACGGCAACAACGGAGGCUGGUUCAAAUCCUCAGCGAACUCUGCUUCCCGAGGCAGGCAGGGAGGCAGAGGUGGCUAUCGCAACCAGAAGAACGGCCCUGGCAACGGAUCCCGCGGAGGCCCUGGCAGCGGCGGCCAUUCUGGUGGCGGUGGUGGCCCUACUGGCUAUGAGGGCUAUGAAGGCAAGUGCCAAAUAUGUAAGAAAACAAACCACAUUGCUAAGGAUUGUGAUUGGCGCUACGCCGAUGACAACUCCCAGAAAAAGAAAAUUGCAGCUGCAGCAGAAGGAUCAUAUGGUGUCGAUACCAAUUGGUACGUGGACACGGGUGCAACAAACCACAUUACUGGAGAAUUGGAGAAGCUGACCAUGCAUGACAAAUAUCGUGGCCACGAUCAAAUCUACACCGCCGCUAAUGGUGCAGGUAUGGAGAUUAAUCGUAUUGAUCAAUCAUCAAAACUCCACAUAAAGAUCUUGUCCUAA